AUGGCGGAGGACGGCGUGCCGUUGGCCGAGUCCGAGUGGCUGCGUCGGUGGUGGCGGCGGGACUCUGGCCCGCUCGAACACCGGCCGGCUGCACUGGAACUCUAUGCAAAAACUCUUACCUGCCCUUCAAAAUCUGACGAGAGUAAAGGUUGGAGAUGGGCAGAUGGCUCGAGGACUUCUUUCUGGCAUGACCGUUGGCUAGGUAUUCAGCAACUUGCAAACCUAUUCCCGGCACUCUACUCGCACUCAACAAGCGGUCAUGCAAAUGUCAAAGAAGUGCUUAGCAGGGGAAUCUUAUCGUUUUUGGUACCAAGACUAUCGCAAGCAGCCCAAGCUGAUCUUCAUAAUUUAGAGAAUAUGCUUGCAGCUUGCUUUCUGAAUGAGGAACCUGACAUCAGGCAAAAUGAU
RNAcentral lists this long non-coding RNA (408 nucleotides) under Oryza sativa tropical japonica subgroup. RNAcentral's name for it is "lncRNA OsCMeo_11g0004990". Lineage: Eukaryota; Viridiplantae; Streptophyta; Magnoliopsida; Poales; Poaceae. The record is from RNAcentral.